AGCCGUGGCUUAUUCUUACGGUACCGUCACCCGAAGGCUUCUUCCCGUACUAAAGGAGUUUACAACCCUAAGGCCUUCUUCCCCCACGCGGCGUCGCUGCGUCAGGCUUUCGCCCAUUGCGCAAAAUUCCCCA
RNAcentral lists this ribosomal RNA (133 nucleotides) under uncultured bacterium. Its description in RNAcentral is "partial 16S ribosomal RNA". The record is from RNAcentral.